This 677-nucleotide ribosomal RNA is filed under the name Halomonas sp. enrichment culture clone CBMAI_747. RNAcentral's name for it is "bacterial SSU rRNA". It matches the Rfam family "Bacterial small subunit ribosomal RNA", at positions 202 to 869 of the family's 1533-position model. The record is from RNAcentral. Lineage: Bacteria; Pseudomonadati; Pseudomonadota; Gammaproteobacteria; Oceanospirillales; Halomonadaceae.
GGCUUCGGCUACCACUUACAGAUGGACCCGCGGCGCAUUAGCUAGUUGGUGAGGUAACGGCUCACCAAGGCGACGAUGCGUAGCCGACCUGAGAGGGUGAUCGACCACACUGGGACUGAGACACGGCCCAGACUCCUACGGGAGGCAGCAGUAGGGAAUCUUCCGCAAUGGACGAAAGUCUGACGGAGCAACGCCGCGUGAGUGAUGAAGGUUUUCGGAUCGUAAAGCUCUGUUGUUAGGGAAGAACAAGUGCCGUUCAAAUAGGGCGGCACCUUGACGGUACCUAACCAGAAAGCCACGGCUAACUACGUGCCAGCAGCCGCGGUAAUACGUAGGUGGCAAGCGUUGUCCGGAAUUAUUGGGCGUAAAGGGCUCGCAGGCGGUUUCUUAAGUCUGAUGUGAAAGCCCCCGGCUCAACCGGGGAGGGUCAUUGGAAACUGGGGAACUUGAGUGCAGAAGAGGAGAGUGGAAUUCCACGUGUAGCGGGUGAAAUGCGUAGAGAUGUGGAGGAACACCAGUGGCGAAGGCGACUCUCUGGUCUGUAACUGACGCUGAGGAGCGAAAGCGUGGGGAGCGAACAGGAUUAGAUACCCUGGUAGUCCACGCCGUAAAGUAUGGCAGAGGGUGGUGGAAUUUCCUGUGUAGCGGUGAAAUGCGUAGAUAUAGGAAGGAACACC